This 468-nucleotide ribosomal RNA is filed under the name uncultured bacterium. RNAcentral's name for it is "partial 16S ribosomal RNA". It matches the Rfam family "Bacterial small subunit ribosomal RNA", at positions 28 to 507 of the family's 1533-position model. The record is from RNAcentral.
GACGAACGCUGGCGGCGUGCUUAACCCCUGCCAGUCGAACGGAAAGUCCCUUCUUUUGUUGGGUUCUCGUUUUGCGAACUUGUGUGUUACCCGUGUGUAUCCUUCCCUUUUCUUUGUGAUAUCUUCUUGUAACUUCGGCUACUCCCCUAUAUGAUCUCCUUCUCCCUUGUGGUGGUUUGUUAUUUUCGGCGGUUGGGGAUGGACUCGCGGCUUAUCAGCUUGUUUGUGGGGUAGUGGCUUACCAAGGCUUUGACGGGUAGCCGGCCUGAGAGGGUGACCGGCGACAUUGGGACUGAGAUACGGCCCAGACGGCAACGGGAGGCAGCAGUGGGGAAUAUUGCACAAUGGGAGGAAGCCUGAUGCAGCAACGCCGCGUGCGGGAUGACGGCCUUCGGGUUGUAAACCGCUUUAGCCUGUGACGAAGCGUGAGUGACGGUAAUGGGUAAAGAAGCACCGGCUAACUACGUG